UACAUGAGACAAAGACAUCCAAGAGUCAGAACACAGUAGCAAACUCAUCUAAGUUUUGCAUGCAGACUGGGGAAAAGGACUAGGACAUCAGUGAGAGGCAUUAGGUGAAAUGAGUGAGCUUCAUGAACUGGUUCACUGAGACAUUCUCAGCAUCUGCUCACUUUCCAGAGAAGAAACUGUAGCUAAAAGGAUUAGUUUUGACAAUGGACACAUGCCUUGUCAAGAAUUUACAGGAGACAGUACUUCCCCAAAGCAGCAUUCUUCCCUUUUAAGAUGGUUGCAUUAUCAGUUACUCAUUUUUCA
Molecule: long non-coding RNA, 303 nt
Organism: Cebus imitator (Panamanian white-faced capuchin)
Lineage: Eukaryota; Metazoa; Chordata; Mammalia; Primates; Cebidae
Exons: 3
Source: RefSeq, a predicted model, not a curated record